AAAAAAAAAAUAAGCUGGGGGUGCAGAAGCAUCCUUCGGGCCCAGAUCCAGAAAAGUUCCCCUGCCCCAUCUUCCUUCCUCUGAGGAGCUCACCAACUACUGGAUAAUUCAGGUGAGACAGAGGUGAAGUGGUGUUGCUCUUGUUACCAUAUCCAAUUCAAAACAGCCUCAGCUAGCAGCAGACUGCUUGUAUUUAUCAGGAAAUGCUGGUCCCCUUGCUUUACCACCUGGUUAUUCAAACAUCUAGAGCAACAAUUUCCAUACACUCCAUUAGGAAUCCUCCUCAAUUCAAAUAAGCUGCUGCUAGAGAUCCUUUUUCCGUGAGCUGGAGGUUUGGUUGAAGAUUAUCAAGUCUUCCAGGAAAGAAAGGGCAAGUGAUGAUGGGUUCAUACGAAUGUCCCAAACUUGCUCCCAUUCUAUAGUUAAAUGCUAGGUGAAGGCUAAGUCUACAACAGGCUAAAUAAUUAAUCUUCAAAUUAAGGUUUCUAUGGCUCUCUUUGGUCUGCAGAGUGCAUGAUGAUCUAGGAACUGUCAAAGUGAAUUGUUCAUGCCUGGUGGACACCUCAGCACCAGUCUUGGAUUCCCUAAAUCUAAUUAGCCUGUGGAAUAUCCAAAUAACUCAAGCAGAAAUUUAUUGACUUAACAAACACUUUUGUGAGUAGCUUUUGCAGGCCACAGAUUGUGCUAGCCUUUGAUCAUGGGAAUUCCUGAAUCAUUUCUCAUCUGGGUCUUCCUAAGAAGACGUGGCUCUAAGAAGCUCUUAACCUCUUAAAUCAUCCUAGGUCUCCCUAGAAACUCAAAUUCUUCAGCUACGACUCCCCCCACCUGGGUAAGACUCUCCCUCGGAAAGCCACAAAGAGAAGGAGGAGGACCUGGAAUCCCUUUUUCCCUUGAGCCAACUCCCCACACUGAGCUCCUGAGAGCCCCUGAAGAAGCCUCUCUUGGCUGUGACUGCAUCCUGGGUUCUGCUUCCUUUGGGAGGAUCUGGUUUAAUGACCUGCCUCUGGGACUUCACAAAGGGGCAGUCACUGCUUCACAGUAUUAUGGAGGCCGCAUGUUCUUUCCCUCUGCUGAUGUUGUUUCAGGUGUUUCUAGGAGGGCAUUACCUUCAUUCAACAUUCCCGAUGGCUUCAGUUAUCCACUGCUGUAUAACAAACUACCCCAAAACUCAGUGGCUUAAAACAAAGAUUUAUUAUUUCUCACAAUUCUGGGGGUUGGCUGGGCUCAGCUGAGCAGUUCUUCGGCUCUGUACUGAGUUGCUCAAGGUCACUUGUGUGGCUGCAUUUAGUUGGGAGCUUUAGUUGGAAUUUAGAUGGAACACACAAGAUGGCUUCACUUACAUGUCUGGCACCUCAGCUGGGGUGGCUUGAGGAGCAGGGAGCUGGUUGAGCGCUCCCUCUCCACAGAGUCUCUCAUCAUUUAGCAGUCUGGCUUGAGCUUACUUACACGGUGGCUGAAUCCCAAUAGGC
Molecule: long non-coding RNA, 1469 nt
Filed under: Homo sapiens (human)
Lineage: Eukaryota; Metazoa; Chordata; Mammalia; Primates; Hominidae
Description: HSALNT0023148
Source: RNAcentral